UUGGAUUAGAAUUUGGAUUAGAGUUUAGGAUUGGAUUAGGAUUUGGAUUAAGAUUUGGAUUAGGAUUUGGAUUAGGGUUUAGGAUUUGGUUAGGGUUUGAUUUAGGGUUUGGAUUAGAGUUUGGUUAAGGUUUGAUUUAAGGUUUGGUUUAGGGUUUAGGAUUUGGAUUAAAGUUUAGGAUUGGAUUAGGAUUUGGAUUAGGGUUUGGAUUAGGAUUUAAGAUUUGGUUAUGAUUUUAUUUUGGGUUUGGAUUAGGAUUUGAUUAGAAUUUGAUUUAAGGUUUGGUUUAGGGUUUAGGGUUGGAUUAGGGUUUGGUUUAGGAUUUGAUUUAGAGUUUGGUUUAGGGUUUAGGGUUUGGAAUAGGGUUUAAUUUAAGAUUUUUUAAGGAUUUGACUUAGGAUUUAGGAAUUAUUAGGGUUUAAGAUUUAAUUAGGUUUGGUCUAAAGUUUAGUGAAAUUCAAUAGGGUUUUAACUAGAAUUAAAUUAAGGUUGAAUUGACAUAUAUUUGAGUAAAAUUUGUGAUCAUUCUAAUAUUUCUUUAAGAAUUUUAUUGUUUGUUUGAAAUUUCUUUGAGUUAUUUUGAAUUUGAUUACGUUUGUUUACCAUUAUUAUAGUCUAAUUAGAGCAUUGUUAGUAUUCUAUUUAGGAUUUUGUUAUCACAAUUUCUAUUC
RNAcentral lists this long non-coding RNA (671 nucleotides) under Physcomitrium patens. RNAcentral's name for it is "long non-coding RNA (PPAT_LNC003281)". Lineage: Eukaryota; Viridiplantae; Streptophyta; Bryopsida; Funariales; Funariaceae. The record is from RNAcentral.